AUCUGCAGAGAUAUUAAUCAGAAUACCAAACAAAAGAAGGGUCUGUUUCAUAGGUAAGUAAGAUCAUGCUUUAAAACGCUUCAGAAAUCCAUUACUGUUAUCUCUGUAAAACAAAACUGAGCUGUCUCUGCUUGAUUGAGAAUUUGCCAUUUUAAAACCUUUGCCUUGCCUAGAUCAGAUCAUCGGAUGCCUCCAAACCAAGAACCUAAUCCAGGGGGUUGGGAUUCUGAUGAAUUUGACCAAGAAGGAAGUGACAACGACUAUGAGGAGCCAGAUAAUAAUGAGUGUGAAGACAAUUACAUAUGUGCAGCAUCAUGUGAUAAUGAGGAAGACGUGAAUACUGAUGAUGACUAUGAACCACCUCCUACUGAAACACCUUCUGAAUUACCGUCUCACUUUCGUGUUGCCAAGCCUCUUGGUGAUGGUGAUUAUUUAGACAGCGGCCCACGUGGUUCUGCAAGACCACCCCAGGACAACAGGUCAGGAUCUCUUCCCAGAGGGCUUUUGAAUACCCCUAAGCCUCCAUCACGACCGGAUCCCUCUCCACACAGGCCUUUCAUUCCCUCCAAUCAAUCCAAACCUAGUGUGCCAAAGGUAGAUCGGAGUAAGAAACCUGGCUCAUCUGCACUGCCAAAACAAAAUAUCAGCAAAUCAGAAAUAAAACAAAACACCUUACCAAUGGCUUCAAAAUCAGCAACUUUACCCACACAAAGACAUCACAUUCAACAGAGGGAUGAGUUUCCUCCUCCACCUGUAGAAGUGAAUGUGAUGAUGGGGCAGGUGAGCACAAUCACAUUACCUAUAAUAAAUAUGACAGCAAGCAUCUCACAAUCCCACAAACCACCAAUGAACUUAAAGCAUGCAGAUGGACUGAACAACCACAAGAUGGCAGUGUUGUUACACGUGGUCCCGUGGUUUCCUUUACAAUGACUCUAAACAAAAGAAUCACAAGCCCAGUAUUGCUAACUCACCUUGUGCAUUAUUUAAAAUCAUAGAAACUAUAAAAUAUAUUUCCUGCUGUAAUAAUGAAAGUGAACACAUACUCGUCCACAGUGUAAAGGCUGAUUGUUUUUAUGCACUCAGGACAUGGAUCGACGGUGGUAUGUGGGGCAAAUGUCACGAGCACAGGCCGAAGUCUCACUAAGACAAAUGAAUGCAGUGAGUUCCACCACUAAAGCCAUAGAAUGUUUUAGAAUGAUCUAAAAUACACCCCUGCCUUCAAAUAAUUCUUAUAAAUUGUGAAUAAAAUAAGCUUUUAUGAGAGAAUUAAUUUGUAA
This is a long non-coding RNA of Cyprinus carpio (common carp), 1277 nucleotides long. Lineage: Eukaryota; Metazoa; Chordata; Actinopteri; Cypriniformes; Cyprinidae. The record is from Ensembl.